CUUACACCUGCUUAAAAAGGAAACUACCUGGAACUGGGGGGAUCCUCAGGACCAAGCGGUAAGUGAACUGAGGAGGAAGCUCACUCAGGCACCCUGCUUAGCAUACCCAGAGGGGGGUAAACCCUUCUAUCUGGAGACAGGAUAUACCGAUUUAAGCAUCAGUGCUUUUCUGUAUCAGAAGCAGGACAGUUUAAACAAAGUUAUUGCAUAUGCUAGCAAGACUUUGUCACCUGUUGAAGUUAAAUUCAACACGUGUGAGAAGGCAUUAUUGUCGACUGUUUGGGCACUACAAAAUUUUCGUAGCUAUAUCCAAGGUGAGAAAAUAAUUGUAGAAACAGCUCACCAACCUCUACAGUAUCUGCAGAGUGAAAGAAUUAGAGACGGUAAUCUCUCUAACAGUCGGAUUACUGCAUGGACUCUAUCCUUACAGGGAUGGCCAUUAG
Non-coding RNA from Pelobates cultripes (western spadefoot toad), 443 nucleotides. Lineage: Eukaryota; Metazoa; Chordata; Amphibia; Anura; Pelobatidae. The record is from the annotation of a GenBank genome assembly.